RNAcentral lists this ribosomal RNA (764 nucleotides) under uncultured bacterium. RNAcentral describes it as "bacterial SSU rRNA". It matches the Rfam family "Bacterial small subunit ribosomal RNA", at positions 588 to 1348 of the family's 1533-position model. The record is from RNAcentral.
UUGUUCGUGAAAUCUCACGGCUUAACUGUGAGCGUGCGGGCGAUACGGGCAGACUUGAGUACUGCAGGGGAGACUGGAAUUCCUGGUGUAGCGGUGGAAUGCGCAGAUAUCAGGAGGAACACCGGUGGCGAAGGCGGGUCUCUGGGCAGUAACUGACGCUGAGGAGCGAAAGCGUGGGGAGCGAACAGGAUUAGAUACCCUGGUAGUCCACGCCGUAAACGGUGGGUACUAGGUGUGGGUUUCCUUCCUUGGGAUCCGUGCCGUAGCUAACGCAUUAAGUACCCCGCCUGGGGAGUACGGCCGCAAGGCUAAAACUCAAAGAAAUUGACGGGGGCCCGCACAAGCGGCGGAGCAUGUGGAUUAAUUCGAUGCAACGCGAAGAACCUUACCUGGGUUUGACAUGCACAGGACGCCGGCAGAGAUGUCGGUUCCCUUGUGGCCUGUGUGCAGGUGGUGCAUGGCUGUCGUCAGCUCGUGUCGUGAGAUGUUGGGUUAAGUCCCGCAACGAGCGCAACCCUUGUCUCAUGUUGCCAGCGGGUAAUGCCGGGGACUCGUGAGAGACUGCCGGGGUCAACUCGGAGGAACGGUGGGGAUGACGUCAAGUCAUCAUGCCCCUUAUGUCCAGGGCUUCACACAUGCUACAAUGGCCGGUACAAAGGGCUGCGAUGCCGCGAGGUUAAGCGAAUCCUUUUAAAGCCGGUCUCAGUUCGGAUCGGGGUCUGCAACUCGACCCCCGUGAAGUCGGAGUCGCUAGUAAUCGCAGA